UACGGGGGGGGCAAGCGUUGUUCGGAAUUACUGGGCGUAAAGGGCUCGUAGGCGGCCAACUAAGUCAGACGUGAAAUCCCCAGGCUCAACCUGGGAACUGCGUCUGAUACUGGAUGGCUUGAAUUCGGGAGAGGGAUGCAGAAUUCCAGGUGUAGCGGUGAAAUGCGUAGAUAUCUGGAGGAAUACCGGUGGCGAAGGCGGCAUCCUGGACCGACAUUGACGCUGAGGCGCGAAAGCCAGGGGAGCAAACGGG
Molecule: ribosomal RNA, 253 nt
Filed under: uncultured bacterium
Lineage: Bacteria
Description: partial 16S ribosomal RNA
Rfam family: Bacterial small subunit ribosomal RNA
Source: RNAcentral